AUUGAACGCUGGCGGCAUGCCUUACACAUGCAAGUCGAACGGUAACAGGUCUUCGGAUGCUGACGAGUGGCGAACGGGUGAGUAAUACAUCGGAACGUGCCUAGUAGUGGGGGAUAACUACUCGAAAGAGUGGCUAAUACCGCAUGAGAUCUACGGAUGAAAGCAGGGGAUCGCAAGACCUUGUGCUACUAGAGCGGCCGAUGGCAGAUUAGGUAGUUGGUGGGAUAAAAGCUUACCAAGCCGACGAUCUGUAGCUGGCCUGAGAGGACGAUCAGCCACACUGGGACUGGGACACGGCCCAGACUCCUACGGGAGGCAGCAGUGGGGAAUUUUGGACAAUGGGCGAAAGCCUGAUCCAGCAAUGCCGCGUGCAGGAUGAAGGCCUUCGGGUUGUAAACUGCUUUUGUACGGAACGAAAAGCCCCGGGUUAAUACCCUGGGGUCACGACGGUACCAUAAGAAUAAGCACCGGCUAACUACGUGCCAGCCGCCGCCGUAA
This 498-nucleotide ribosomal RNA is filed under the name uncultured bacterium. RNAcentral's name for it is "partial 16S ribosomal RNA". It matches the Rfam family "Bacterial small subunit ribosomal RNA", at positions 30 to 523 of the family's 1533-position model. The record is from RNAcentral.